Long non-coding RNA from Vidua macroura (Pin-tailed whydah), 864 nucleotides. RefSeq lists it as uncharacterized. The transcript is spliced from 3 exons. The record is from RefSeq and is a predicted model, not a curated record. Lineage: Eukaryota; Metazoa; Chordata; Aves; Passeriformes; Viduidae.
CUGUAGGAGUGGAAAUGCAAAGCACAGCUUUCACCCCAUUAACAUGCUAAUUCAUUUGGAGGAAAUUGAAAAAGCAGUUUCACCUAUUUUAUUUGCAGGUCCCUGCUAGUCUGUUACAGAACCUGUUAAGCCACCAUGCCCAUGGCAUAGUUGACAACCCUGGAGGGAGCAUCAACCUUAGGGAUGUUCCACCAUGUACAGCAUGGGAGUAGCAUAGGUCAAGGGUGGGAUGACAGCCACUGCAGUCUUCCUGUUUGUGAAACACAGAAGAAUAUGAGCAGCAGUUAAAACCAAGGUAAAAGGAACCACACUACUUUCCGAUAAAUUUCAAGAGCUUCAGAGCUUCCCACUCUUCAAAGGCUUUCUGCAAUAAAAGCUUCCAGCAGAAGAGCAUAUGUGGAAUAACAAAGCUCAGUAAAAUCCAACUAAAUGAAAAGGAAGGUGACAGCCAGGAACCCUAAAUCAAAGAAAGAAAUGCUGUGAGCAGAAUGCAGCUUUCUGAGGUGCUUAGAAAUGGAAAUACUCUUUUGGAAAUCAUGCUGGACUGAAGACCUAGACUGAGAUUCCCAGACUCUAAUAAAAAUAUGGCAUAGCAAAGUACUGGCUAAAUGGUGCCUAAGCAGUGAAACACAUUGUCCUGGCCAGUACUGAAAGCUGUUGCUACUGCAACUUCUGCUACCUCUACCAGCAGUGGCUAAGGUCAUAGUGGGCAAGAGGUAUAUAAGAACCACUGAUCCAGAUUAUUUUACUUCAUCUGAAAACUGAGGUAAUGUGUUCUUACAUUUCUCUAAGAAAAACAGGAAUGCACUAAAGAGUGGGAAGAAUCUGCAGAGCUGAUUGGAGCAGUGUAAGGUAUGUAGUGGA